UUGCCCUCUCCUACAUCUACAAUCUGAGGACGUGAAGAAACCACCCAGUGUCCAUCUGUACCGUGCUUGGCAGGAAGGCUGGCAGCCAGCCCAGGUUCCCAUGGGAUGCUGAUGAUGCUGAUCCAGGAACCACACUUUGAGAACUAAUGGGUUAGAAAAUCUGCUAGAAGACCUGGAGGAAGCCGAAAAGCUUCUUACCCAGUGUCAGUCCACCACCAUCCUUCACCUGGAUUCAUGCAGAGGUCUCUCUGCUUGUCUCUGCAAGUCUUGCUCACUCCUUCCUCCACCAAUUCAUUCUCAGUGCUGCCGGAGUCCUUGUUCUAAGAUAAAGAGGUAGCAGGUAUAAUCUCCAGUGCUGAGCUGGAACACCUAGAACACAGCAUCCCUGGGGUCAGCCCCGUGCCUUGGGGGAUGCGCAGUGUCCUUGUCCUGCCUCCCCAAGGAUGCCA
Molecule: long non-coding RNA, 449 nt
Organism: Kogia breviceps (pygmy sperm whale)
Lineage: Eukaryota; Metazoa; Chordata; Mammalia; Artiodactyla; Physeteridae
Source: RefSeq, a predicted model, not a curated record